GACGAACGCUGGCGGCGUGCCUAACACAUGCAAGUCGAACGGAGUAGAGACUUCGGUUUUUACUUAGUGGCGAACGGGUGAGUAACGCGUGAGAAACCUGCCUCUCAGUGGGGGACAACAGUUGGAAACGACUGCUAAUACCGCAUAACACUUUAGUACCGCAUGGUGCAGAAGUCAAAGCUUUAUGUGCUGAGAGAUGGUCUCGCGUCUGAUUAGCUAGUUGGUGGGGUAACGGCCCACCAAGGCGACGAUCAGUAGCCGGUCUGAGAGGAUGAACGGCCACAUUGGGACUGAGAUACGGCCCAGACUCCUACGGGAGGCAGCAGUGGGGAAUAUUGGGCAAUGGACGCAAGUCUGACCCAGCAACGCCGCGUGAAGGAAGAAGGCUUUCGGGUUGUAAACUUCUUUAAGGGGGAAGAGCAGAAGACGGUACCCCUUGAAUAAGCCACGGCUAACUACGUG
Molecule: ribosomal RNA, 462 nt
Filed under: uncultured bacterium
Lineage: Bacteria
Description: bacterial SSU rRNA
Rfam family: Bacterial small subunit ribosomal RNA
Source: RNAcentral